ACAAAAGUAAAUUAAAAGGGUGUGCAACAUCAUACUAUGAAUCACAGUUUUGACAAGCAACAUUCUACCAGCUAUAGAUAGAAAGUGAAAUUCUGGCAUAGUCAGAGUUCAGAUGUUCUACUCCAAGUCAUGACAUCUGAUCCAACAUUAUUACUAAUACAGCAAGACAGUUAGACAAAUUAAAACCCAGUACUAAUCUGCACACAUUCACCGAUGUCACGACAUCCGCUACUAUAUUACCAUAGAAUGGAAGAACUCCCAGUUCUGUCCAUCUGGUACAAGGAC
RNAcentral lists this long non-coding RNA (285 nucleotides) under Lathyrus oleraceus (garden pea). RNAcentral's name for it is "Pisum sativum (pea) long non-coding RNA (PSAT_LNC022609)". Lineage: Eukaryota; Viridiplantae; Streptophyta; Magnoliopsida; Fabales; Fabaceae. The record is from RNAcentral.